RNAcentral lists this ribosomal RNA (636 nucleotides) under Triticum aestivum (bread wheat). RNAcentral describes it as "partial small subunit ribosomal RNA". The record is from RNAcentral. Lineage: Eukaryota; Viridiplantae; Streptophyta; Magnoliopsida; Poales; Poaceae.
CUCAUCAACGGUGACUUCAACCUGAUCUACGAGGCGCGCGACAAAAACAACACCAACAUAAACCGUAGGAUCAUGGGAAAAUUUCAAACUGAGAUCGACGCAGCAGGGCUCAAGGAGAUCAAGUGCAAGAACAGAAGAUUCACGUGGAGCAACGAGCACGUGUCACCAACCCUAGUUAGGAUAGAUAAAUUUUUCUGCACCAUGGCUUGGGCCUCCAUGUUUCCCUCCUACCUCCUUCACGCCGCUUCCACCUCGUGCUUUGACCACUACCCGUUGCUGCUGUCAGAGGCGGCGGCCCCUCACCGCGCGGCUCGCUUCCGCUUCAAGUCUUUCUGGCUGAGAUUCCCUCGCUUCCACACUACGGUGCAGAGGGCGUGGGAUCGCCCAGUCGCCUCAAGCUAUGCUUUCAAGAGAAUCAGCACAAAGCUCGCGCGAGUGGCCCGAGACCUAAAGAUUUGGGCCAAGGGCUUCUUCAGUGAGACAAAGCUUCAAAUGCACAUCGCAAACGAGAUCGUGUUCCGCCUCGACAUAGCUCAGGAGAGUAGGCAACUAACAGUAGAUGAACUCCAGCUGCAGAAAUGGCUCAAGAUGCGAGUCCUUGGACUCGCCUCCAUCGAGAGGGCGCGUAAGAGAUAG